CAGCCGCCGCGGUAAUACGUAGGGGGCGAGCGUUGUCCGGAAUUAUUGGGCGUAAAGCGCGCGCAGGCGGUCCUUUAAGUCUGAUGUGAAAGCCCACGGCUCAACCGUGGAGGGUCAUUGGAAACUGGGGGACUUGAGUGCAGGAGAGGAGAGCGGAAUUCCACGUGUAGCGGUGAAAUGCGUAGAGAUGUGGAGGAACACCAGUGGCGAAGGCGGCUCUCUGGCCUGUAACUGACGCUGAGGCGCGAAAGCGUGGGGAGCAAACAGGAUUAGAUACCCUGGUAGUCCACGCCGUAAACGAUGAGUGCUAAGUGUUAGAAGGGUCAUACCCUUUAGUGCUGUAGCUAACGCGAUAAGCACUCCGCCUGGGGAGUACGGCCGCAAGGCUGAAACUUAAAGGAAUUGGCGGG
This 410-nucleotide ribosomal RNA is filed under the name uncultured microorganism. Its description in RNAcentral is "bacterial SSU rRNA". It matches the Rfam family "Bacterial small subunit ribosomal RNA", at positions 509 to 917 of the family's 1533-position model. The record is from RNAcentral.